AGUAAUACAUAAGUAACCUGCCCUAGACAGGGGGAGUAACUAAUUGGAAACGAUAGCUAAGACCGCAUAGGUACGGACACUGCAUGGUGACCGUAUUAAAAGUGCCUCAAAGCACUGGUAGAGGAUGGACUUAUGGCGCAUUAGCUGGUUGGCGGGGUAACGGCCCACCAAGGCGACGAUGCGUAGCCGACCUGAGAGGGUGACCGGCCACACUGGGACUGAGACACGGCCCAG
Molecule: ribosomal RNA, 234 nt
Filed under: uncultured bacterium
Lineage: Bacteria
Description: partial 16S ribosomal RNA
Rfam family: Bacterial small subunit ribosomal RNA
Source: RNAcentral